Molecule: long non-coding RNA, 8616 nt
Organism: Gallus gallus (chicken)
Lineage: Eukaryota; Metazoa; Chordata; Aves; Galliformes; Phasianidae
Source: Ensembl
UUUUCUCUCAUCCUGAAGGAGAUAGAGGGCCUCCUGAAUUUUUACUGCUCCCUCCCUUUACAUCUACAGCUCUAAUAUCUGUACAACAUGACCUGUAUUUGUCACUUUCUCUACUCCACUCCUCUUUUCAUUUAUUCUUUGAAAAGUUUAGCCCUUGCCUUCCCACCUCGGAGAUUGCACUGUGAUUAAUGAAGGCGAGCACCUGGACGCUGGGACUGAUGUGCAGGCAGAGGUCAUCGAUUUGCUUUGGGAACACUGGGCUGGUGACAGCAGAGCUGCUGGUGGAGGCAGCCAUCUGCACGCUGUUCACUUGGUGGGGAGGCUCUCUGGGACAGGUGUGAAUAUUCAGAAGGCAUCAGCAGCAGGCAGGAUGGCUGCAAGGGCGCUGGCAGUGAGCAGUGAACAGUGCCAUGCAGUGCCUGCAGCCCUGUGUGCAGCACCAGGCUGCUGGAGAGCCCAGGGAGCAGAGUCUGGGCAGCCUGCAGGUAGCAGUGCUCCCCAGGGGGUGGUACUGGGCCCAGCCUUGUUCAGUAUCUUCAUCAGUGACCUGGAUGAAGGGAUAGAGUUCACCCUCAGCAGGUUUGCUGGUGAUAUGUGGAUGGCAGGGGUGGCUGAUGUGCCAGUAUGGCCAUUCAGCAAGGCAUGGACAUGUGCGAGAGUUUGGUGGAGAGGAAUCUGAUGAGCUUCAACAAGGGCAAGGGUGGAGUCCUACACCUGGGGAGGAAUAACAACACCUCAGUACAGGUUGGGGGCUGAGCUGUUGGAAAGGAGCUCUGUGGAGAAGGACCUGGGGGUCCUGGUUGACCAAUGGUUGACAGUGAGCCAGCUAUGUGCCCUUGUGGCCAAGAAGGUCAAUGGUAUCCUGCGUGCAUUACAAAGAGUGUGGCCAGCAGGUGAGGGAGGCUCUUCUCCCCUUUGCUCUGCUCUGGUGUGGCCACAUCUGGGGCACUGGGCCCAGUUCUGAGCUCCCCAGUUCAAGGCAGGCAGGGAACUGCUGCAGAGAGUCCAUUGGAGGGCUGCAGAGAAGCCUGGAGCACCUCCUGAUGAGGAAAGGCUGAGAGCACUGGCACUGUUCAGCCUGGGGAGGAGAAGACUGAGAAAUGGGUCUUCUCAGUAUUUAUAAUAUACAAAGAGCAGGAGCCACGUGGAUGGGGCCUGGCUCUUAUCAGCACUGCCCAGCAAGAGGACAAGGGGCAACGGGCACAAACUGGAACUUUGGAUCUGUGAUUCUGUGAAAUACAGGAUGGAGAGGGGAAGGAAGGAAGAGCUGCCAUGGAUGUUCAUGUUAUUCCCACACACCAGUGCAGUGCAGCAAGGGCCUGCAGCACAGAACGCCAGCACUGCGGGUGCAUGCAUUUCCCACAGGAGCCAUUCAUUUUAGGAUAGAUCCAGCUGUGUGCCUGUUGUUUUGGCUCUGCCAAUUUGGAUUAACAAACACAUCUUGAUGGGAAGUCCCAAAGUGCCAGCAACGCCCCUUGUUCACCAGCGGGUUUCAGCAGCCUGCUGAAUGUUAACAGGCUGCUCAGACAGGCUGAGAUGUGACAGGCCAGGGAUGGCCCACUGGGGACACCACUUAUUUGCCCUGACACAUGAGCUAAUGCAAUGCAUGCCCCAUUAAUCAUAGCAGCAUCCCAAAUCAUGACUUGGUUAAAAAAAAAAAAAAAAAAGCACUGCAGGGAGGCCAGAUGGACUUUGCCAAAACUUUCCUGAAAUUUCCAGUUAAUGACAGAGCAAAAUAGCCUUUCUCAGCUCUCCAAGAGCAGCCUGACUCAGGGUAGGUACAAGGAGUGAGUGCCUGAGCCAGUGGAGGGAUCUGGCUAACGAGCUGCAGCUGGCUGGGCUAACAAACCUGCAGCUGGAGCACAGGCAAUAGGUUGGGGUUGUUGGCUCUCUUUCUUACGUGGUAUUCUGGAAGAUGAACCUGAAUGUGGGCUUAAAAGCUGGAAAUGUCCAACAGGUAAAGCUCCCCUCAACGUAAGGCUGUUAGAUCCAGGCUGGGAAUGGUUGAAAUGGUUGAAUGGUUGGUUGAAAGCUGGGCGGUCACCUGGGGAGAGCCACUGCAUGGCCUGCCUGGGCUCUUUGAAAACCCACCAUGGGUGGAGGGGGGCUGCUGGGGGCACUGAGGCUGUACUGAAAUGGGGAGCUGUGCUUGGGGCACCCUGACCAGCAGCUGCAUAAAGUAUACAUUUAUACAUAUAUAUACAUAAUAAUAUACACAAAGAGGCUUAAAAGAAGUUAAUUGACCAUGCUGAUCACUUCCAUUGAUUACACUGUAACACCGAAACAAAAGUCUGGUGCCAUUUGAGGCAGCAUAGAGCCAGCAUGAGUUCUGUUCUGCUUCAGAAUGAAGUCCAAAAGCCUUUUUUCUAGCCCUAAUGAUAACACGUUUACAUUUGAAGCUAAAAGCAGAUAGGCUUUGCACAGCUGCUGAUACAGGCAAUCAGCAAAACGUUCCCAGUUUUGAUUGUGAGGUUUGGGUUAUUUUUUUGUAACGAAGUGCUGCCUCCUGCUGGGUAAAAGGUCAGUAAUAAAGCUUGUCUUCUGUAAGCCAUUCUUCAGUGUUUUUCACUUGAACUCUGGGAAAGAGCGUGGAGACCCUCCUGGCCCAGGGUCCUGCACUGCUGUCUGUCCUAGCGAGCCCUGUGGGCUGAUGGAUAAUAGUUCUGGAGGGAGUUCCUUGCUUGCUAUCCCUUAUUCCCAUUGUGCACCCUGCUUGCGUUUGGGUCAGUUUUUUCAGCGCUGCAAGGACAGACAGCUUGUUGUUGGCAGCUCCUUUUAUUUGUAAGCACCUCGCGAUCAAUCAGAGGUGACGUCUGAUGGUUAUCUCAGUAAAACAAAGCAUCCCGCCCAUAUGUUAGCACUUUAAUUCCCCGUCCCUCGGCUGGCCGUGCUCCGCAGCACCGCACCCCCCCUGCAGUGCGGCUCCAGCCCGCUAGGUGGCGCACUGCCCCUUCGGAAAGGGGAGCACCCACUGCAAGCAAGCAGCUGCAGGUCAGGAGGGCGCACAGCAGCCCCUCCUAACACGGGCACAGCACUCGGAGGUGCUCUGGUGGCACGCAGCUCUUCCUGAGCCAUCAAUUCCGAUACGCAAAUGGACAAAGUGGUGACAGAUACGCUUGAUUUACGUGAGAUGAAGCGUCUCAGCGCUGACUGUAUCUGGCUGUAGGGGAAACACCUGGCAAAGCUGCUCACUGAUCGCACCCAGACGUUUGCAAGCUGGCGCAGUGAGUCUAUCAGAUAUUGCUCAGGCCCCGUGCAGGAUGUGGUUCUGCGGCUCCCAGCGCGGCACGGAGCCUCCCUGAGCUCACAGCACCCAGCAGCACGGCCUCGCUCUGCUGCGUGGCUGCAGCACACAGUGCUGGCGGCAAUAGGAGGGAAUCACCUCUCCUGCUGUGCAGCAAGGUGACUGCAGGGCUGAGUGCCGUGUCACAGCUGGGGCCACGUGGACCGGUAGAAAGCAAGACCAUCUUUUUCAAACUCCGGUGUGUUUUAUCAGGAAGUGCUCCGUUGGGCUCAGCCUGCAGGCACGCUGCUGUGCGCAUGGCCCAGGGUAAGGACAGCACGUGUGAUGUCAGGGUUUGCUGACUGCUAGUGUCACAGCUAGCAGCAAUAAAAGCAGGCGUUGUACUUGAAGCAGCACAUGGUGUCUUGUAUGUACUGACACAUUCCUCGGCUUCUCAGGGCUGUGUGUGCUCUGAGAGAACAGGAUAAGCCCUCACCAGACAAGCUGAUCUUUCUUUCGCUGUCCUUUAAAGCUGCGGACUCAUGAUGCAUCCACUAAAAAUAAUGCAGGCCUGUCCUUGCAGUGACAAAUAUCCUCCUGGCUGAACGAGAGCUAAAUCUGUCUUGCUGAGGUCUGCCUGUCAGGACACAGCCUGUUCUUUUCCAUCUCCCCUGCUGCUCGUUUCUGCUCACACUGCGUGUUAGUGGCUCACUGUGAUUUAUUCCAGGCUGGAGCUUUGACCCUUUGCCUUUUUGCUCGCAUGCCUGCAGCUACAGACUGGUUGGUGGUGUUAAUCUGUGAGAAGCACAUCUGCACGUGGAGGAUCAGCUCUGGAGAGGUGUGCGGUGUAAAGAACGAACUGCUCAGGUCUUCUGCUAUGGCACCAGGUGCAAGAGCCUCUCACCAAAGCACAGGGCUGUGCUGUGAGCUCAGGGCACCUCCUCCAAGCUCUAUAUCACUUUCUGCCAUUUGAUGUUAUCCCAGUUCUCCUACUUCCAGAUGGAAAUGCUAUCAGUGACAGCAAUGUUCCCAGGAUGGAGCUGAGGCAGAUGUGUGUGCCAGCACACAUGCGAAGCAUAUUGCUUUCUAAAAGCAUGGUGUGAUUACUCGGUGCAGAUAAGACCAAGACUUGUUGCUCAUUUCCCCACUCCAAGAGCUGGUAGGUGGCACUGCUGGCCCUUGGAGGGGGCUGAGUCAGAGCCAGGGUGAACAGAAACUGCUUCUUGGAGCCAAUUUGGCUCCUGUGUCUUUACUUGGAGGAUGGUGAGUACAGAGAGCAGUCAGAGCUGUAUGAGCAAACAGCAGUGGUGGUGCUGCCACCAGCCCUGCCCUUCCUCUGAAGCUGCCUGCUGCAGUUCAAAGGCUGGAAUCAAAAGGACGUUAAGCACGAUGCCCAAUCUGAAAAUGCACCAAACUGCUGCUCUCCAGCACACGAUCAGAUGGUAGGAAAGGCUCACUGACGUUUUUGUGGUACAGACUUAAAGGCAUUAAAGCUCAACACCAGCAGUGGCUUCACCAGCAAGAGACGAGGAAUGCACUGAAACCAACAAAACGAGAAUAGAAGGUAAAGAAAUGGUUACCAUGAAACAGAGAAACAUUUGUACAACGGGCUGUGCUCAUAAUCACGCCUUUGGUUUUGUACCAAGUCAUUCAUGGUACAAGUUGCAGGAUGUAACUACUGAAUUCCUCUUUUCUCCUUCAAAACUAGUAAGAGUUGAAUGUAACCACCAUUUCAAAUAACCCUUGUUUCUCUGAACUGUUAAUUUAGAGUCCAAACUUGCAGUCUCUAUAAGUCUUCUAUAGAAGCACCUACCUAAUUCUUCUUUAAGUCUUAUUCUGACAGAGUAAAGCUUUAUUUCUCCAGCCUGAGUAAACUGCAUUGCCACAGCUUUGGUGCCAAGCUCUUUCAUACCACUGCCAACCCUGUAUGUGAUCCACACUGCGAGUGUCUCUGCAGUCAGGUUCUGUAACAUAGGUUCUGUCUAUAAUUCUUACAGAUAUGUUGUUAGUUUAUCAGAUUCAAUUUGAAGAAUAGAAACUGAUCUCCUGCAAGAUCUGAUUUUUAAAAAAUCCAAAAUCUCUGAAAUGAAAAAUUAUUUGAAUGCAAUGGGUAAAUUAAUUCAGUAACAUUCCCCAUUCUCUUAAACUGAUCUAUUUCAUAUGACAGCAGAAACUUUCAGGUAUCACCUACUGUCAAAACAUUUUACUGCCUAAUAGCCUGUCAAAUUGUCUUCUUAUAUACCGACCUCAUUCUCAAAGGAAAUCAGAUGUUUCUGCCAUCACAGAUUCUCGUUUUUCCAAACAAAUCCCUUCUGUGAAGGUAUCUGCAUGUUGCAAUUUGCAGCUAUUUGCCAAAAGCCUGCUCUUGUAUUUCCUCCAGUGAAACAUUUGCUGACAAACCUGUAAAAUCCUCAGGGGAUGUUCAGGACGGAGGUGGUUCGCUUACCCACCAGGAUGGAGGUUUCUGGAUACCCUACAGCUCUUCUCCCAUGAGGUUUAUUGGAGAACUGGUGUUACCUUCAUUCCAGCUUUGCCCAUCCUCUGCCAAUGCAGUUCACUGCUCAGCUUUGGAGACUGUACCUGCAAUCAGAAGAAGGAAAAAUGCAACAGCAUUGCAAGGUGCUGCAAUGGUGUGAACACCAAAGGAGUGCAGGACAGAUACCACAGAUCUGGGAGAUGCCAUACAGUGCUGCACCAUCCCAGGGCUAUUUGCUUUGCUCAGGUGAGUUGGAGACUCGUACUGCCCCAAAGCCAUGGUCAGCAAUGGGGCUGGUGGGGGCCCUGACAGUGCCUCCUGGCAGCCCUGUGCGUGGCACUGAUGUUGCAAAUACUCUAUGUGAUUUCAGCCUGUUGCAUGAACUCUUGAAACCAAAGAACAUUUUAGUGUUCACUUUGAUGCCAGUAGUUACGUGCACAUAGUCAACUGAAAGAGCUCCCAAAUAUGACUUCAGGCUGAAGGGCACAUUAGACUCAUUAAUGUACUCACAUCCACGAUUCAGCCAGCAGUUACUGAUUGCCAUCAUUUUCCAGCAACACGCUGGUUCCUGGCGAAAAGCAUGAACUUAUUAACUGCUGUGCUGAUGGGUUUUAGUUGCCCACAGUGCGUACCUGGGUAUGAUUCUGGGUAGGUGACAACACGGGCUCUACCUCCUGUGGAUGGUGUUACAAAAUAAAGCGUUAAAGGUUUAACAGAAGUUAGGAAGAAAUUCUUCACUCAGAGAGCGGUGAGGCCAGAGAGCAGUGGGUGCUCCAUCCCUGGGGGUGCUCAGAGUCAGGCUGGAUGGGGCCUUUGGCUGCCAGCCCAUGGCAAGGGGGUUGGAGCUUGAUUAUCUUUAAGGUGUCUUCCAACCUACGACAUUCUAUGAUUUACUAAUGUAGCUCUACUGUACCAUCCUGGAGACAUCAGGUACCAUCAGCAGGUGCUGCAAACUGCUCCUUUUUUUAAAACAAACAAAAGUAUGCCACCAUUAAACUCUGUGGCUCUGCUAAGACUUUCAAUUGCAUAACAGCUAUGGGGACAACACAUUGCUCAACUUUACUGAAUUGAAAAAUAUACACCCCAAUGAGAACUGAUACAAACAUGAGAUUUCUUUACCCAGCUCCCCUUUAUUAUUUCUUUAAUCUGAAGUACUUUCAGUGACCUGUAAAUUGCUUUUGCCAUUGCAGAGAUGCUGAGCACGAGCACUGUGUGCUCACUGGCUGUGCAAUGCACCAAAGAGGGCUGUUGGAGGUUUCUGAAAGAAAACCUCCAGGUUGGUGGUGGGCUUCUUAAAUCUAUGUAAAAUUGUCUCUAAAAUCUCAGUGACUGCGCAAUAUGCGGCUCGGGGGAAGGAAGUUGUGAAAGGGCCAGGAAAUAGGGUGGGAACAGAACUCUUCCAGCUAACCAAAGCCCUGCUGAACCACAGACUGCAGCACCACCCAGCACUGGGAAAAAAGGGAAAGGCAAUUAAAUCCUUCUGAAAAGGCACUGUUUCAGUGAUAGUUACAGACUGGCUCUCAAACCCCAAAUACAAACAGAAGGAAAGACCGACAAACAAGCACUGUGAACUGUGGACUCUGAAAGCCUUAUUUGUAAAGCCUCACCCUGACCGUGACACAGAACCCAGUGCCUCACCCAGCUGCUCCACACCUCCUUUGCUGCCCUUGCUGGUGCCCAGGCCUCCUGCACCUCCAGCUCAUUGACACAGCCCUCCUGCCACAGCCUGGCAACACCGCCCCGAUCAAACCGAUUGAUCAGCAUCUUGGAUUUGUACCUCCCCACAAAUGCUCCUUCCUAGCUGUCUCGGCACACGGAGCCCUGGCAGCAAGGACUGCUGGCUCUUUGCUCAGUUAAGGGUGAUGCUACAGUUCAGCCCUGCUCCUCAGAGCCUGGGCGCACUGUGAGCCCUCAGGUUUGCUCCUCCUCAGCAACGAAUGGAAAACAACAACCUUCCAGUGCUGGGCACGCCGGGCUGACAGGGCCCACACACAGCACGACCCGCUGGCGCUGCUGUGGGCCUGCCUUGCUGAAGGCCUCCCUGCUGGAGCACUGUUCUCCUGCUGCUCGCCCCAGGGCCGUUGGGUGAGGUGCGGGGCGGCGGCUCAGAGCUGCUGCCAUGGGAGAGGGCUCCACGCCCUGAGGGAACCCGGCCUCACUGCCUCCUCCUGACCGGUCCCCUGCCCGCAGGACGAGGAGCCGUGUCCCCACACAAAGCCCCCGGCUCCGCCUUCUGCACCUGAGCGCCCUCCUCCUGCCCUCACAGCCCGGGGAAACCGCGGCUAAGGGGACGCGGCGACGUCGCAGAGCCCCGGGGCGACCUGCGAGGCCACGCGGGGACACGGCUCCCCCGCACAACAUGGCGGACGGCUGACGACAACCGGGCGGUGUCAAUCAAGCCGAGGGAGCCAAUCAGAUCCCGGAGCUGCCCGCCGGGGCGGGGCUGGCCCGCCAGCUGCGGGUCGGUAGUCCCGGCCGCGUCGCGCAGCGAUACGGGCGCGGUGCGGCCGUUCCGAGAAGUGAUGCAAGAGGGCGGAAUUUCCCCAGCGCUGCGAUUGCGACAGAGCCGCGUCGUGUCCUUCCCCGGCGGGGCAGAGGGGCUCAGCCGCUGUGCCUGCGGAGCUCUGCCGAGGUGGAGCGGCGGUUGUAAAUAACGCCCGCUGCCGUGUCGGCGCUCUCCGUCCGCCGCACCGAAGCGCUCCGCUUUAUGGGACAACACCCGAAGGAGAGAACGCACGCGUCGACGCGGAGCCGCGAUUUCACGUCUCGGAGCGAUUCUUCCCAGCCGUUCAGAACGACUUAAAGAGGGCAGGCACUGAGCGCGAACCGCAGCGUCGCGGGAUCUGAGCGGCUGGAUACCGCCCGGCUCCGCGGCUCCGGCCGGCCGGCCGCCCCGUAACGCCCGCAGCAGCGCAGG